This is a long non-coding RNA of Vespa mandarinia (Asian giant hornet), 999 nucleotides long. RefSeq lists it as uncharacterized. The record is from RefSeq and is a predicted model, not a curated record. Lineage: Eukaryota; Metazoa; Arthropoda; Insecta; Hymenoptera; Vespidae.
CGUUAGAUCGAGGUCGAGUAUUUCUAACUUUAGCGAUAGAAAUUCAAAACACGAACAUACUCGUGAUCGAUUCUUUUCUUAUUCAAAGCACGAGUCCAUAGUUUAUGAAAGAUUCGAAUCUCAAAGAUGAGAGGAGUGUUAUUAUAACAUGUAGGAUCGAUAAUCUCAAGUCGACGGUGAACCUCGGUGAAGGUCUAAUCUCGAUGGAAAUGAUGGAUAAAACGAAAGAGAAAGAGAUAGGCGUGGUUAGUGAAGGACAAAGUGCAUCUCGUAAAACAACGACACAACGUGUACACCUGCAAAGAUAUCAACACGCACAUUGUCACGCAUAUGUACGCGGAUAUACACGUCAAAGAAGCAACACCACACCCUGCUGAACAAGAAUCGUAUGGCCGUGCAAUGCGCCGGCGGUAAGCGACGAUAGGAAUGCGUAUGAGCGGGAUAAUACUACGUGUAUGCAACAUAUAAACGUGUCUAACACGCGAGCUCGCUUUAGAAAAGUUCGCACGCAGGAAUAAUCGUACUCGUUGGCCGGUGCAUUUACUACUAGCAGAGGAGGAGGAAGAGAGGAGGACGAACGUGUUGCGCGGAACAAACCGGCAAAGACUCCGACGACGACGACCGACCGAUCGAAUUCGCCUCGGUUAACCCCGGCUUAACGUUUCCUUAUCCUGCAAUGGACUAUACCAAUCAACACGUAUAUGGAUAAAUAUAUCCUAUUUAUAGAAGGAACACAUGUAUCUAACGUCGAUUCAAACGAUUCGUGACAGCCUGGAAAGUUAUCGAUUAACACCGAAUAUGAACUGCAAUAGAGCAUUCACCGUUAUCAAUACAUUAAUCUUUAUUAAAACUCGAGCGAAAAAUAUUACCUAUCUGUACUGCUUAUUGCACGUUUGUUUUUAAUGUGAAAAAAAAAAAGAAAAGAAAAUGAAAUACAAAAAAAGAAAAAAAAAUUAAAAAAUUUAAGAAACGUUGGAUUGUUCAUAAAUAAAGAAAUAA